AGGUGGAUAGCUCAGUUGGUAGAGCACCGGAUUGGUAAUCCGGAGGUCGCAGGUUCAAGCCCCGCUCCAGUCA
Patiria miniata (bat star) is the source of this 73-nucleotide non-coding RNA. NCBI's taxonomy places the organism in Eukaryota, Metazoa, Echinodermata, Asteroidea, Valvatida, Asterinidae. The record is from the annotation of a RefSeq genome assembly.